This is a long non-coding RNA of Phasianus colchicus (ring-necked pheasant), 1892 nucleotides long. The record is from Ensembl. NCBI's taxonomy places the organism in Eukaryota, Metazoa, Chordata, Aves, Galliformes, Phasianidae.
AUGGGAGCACAGGUGAAGGCAAUUCAGCUGUGUGAUCGGAAGGGGUGGAACCUGGCUGCACUACUCCUCGACCCCAUUUAUGGGCUGACUGCCACUGGGGAAGGAUCUCUUUCUGGAGAUUCCUCCUCUGUGGGGCUUUUCAUUGCAAGCCUAAAUCUUUGGAUAUGGCUGAGUAUUCCUUCUCUGUUUGUUCCUUUGCUAAUCUCGCUACAGUACUCUUUCCAACUGUAUUUUGUUGACUGUAUGCCUCCCCAGAGUGUUUUUCUUAGGGAGACAACAGUUUGGCUUGAAGAGCAGCACCAGAUCCUCUUCUGUAAAAGGUUCUCAAAACAAAAGAUGAAUGCAGCCAAUGUGAUGGAGGUGGAUGAGGAGAGUUCCUUGAGCUGUCUGUCUCCAGAAAAGUCACCCACCUGGUCCCAUGUCCCAACUCUGCCCCUCUCUUGGGGCUGGGGACACUGCGGCCACCCAAGCUACCCAUGCAGACAUCUCCUGCCCUCUUCAUCUCCUGCCCUGCCAUGUAGAAGAUGCCUUGUUUGAGUCCUAAAUAUGUUUCAUUUAAGCCCCAAUGAUGGUUUACUAAGUGCUGUAAUGUUUGUUAGGUCUCUCUUUACAUUGCUGUAAUUACCGUAAUAAGCGGUCUUAACCGGCUCUUUUAUAAGUUACAGCAGCAUAAAAACAUCUCAGUGUGCUUUCCUUUAAUGAGCUACAACUUCAGCAUAAUCUUCCUGACUCCAUUUUCACUGGAGUAUCCGUUACAUUGCAGUUUUAUGGGAUGCAGUGGUGGAGAUGCAGGCAACAUUUUUGAGAGGCCUUGCAGAACGUGGUGGCUCUGUCCAUGGGUUCCAUGACCAGCCAAGCCCCUGGAGGGACAUCACUGCCCUGGGAAGCACACUGCCAGCUGCUGCAGUAUUGCAGGGAAUGUAACACAAGCACGUGCGCCUUCUGUCCAUGUAAGGACAUCAUGGGAUGAGUGUUGACAAUAGGGAUUGACACCCAAAUGCUAGGGCAGAGGUUCAGUGCCGGGGCCAGUAACUGAUACAAGUAGCAGCAGAUGAGACCCAGGCAUGGGGAUUUGAGGGACAGCUGUGCUGGGCUCCCUCCAUCCCUGGCACCAAUCCACCAUUCCCUCCCAGCACCAGAACAUCCUGAGGAGCAUCUCUGUCCCGGCAGCCCCACCAUGUGGGCACGGAGCCCCCUCCAAAAAAGCCUCAAUCAAUUACACCACUGUAACACCGCACCGACUAACGCACGGUUUGACUGCUGACAGCAGAUGGACGAACACUUGUCGGUGAUUUGGUGCUGAGCGAGAGGCAGAUUUAUUUCCAGAGCCUGCUACUCUUGUUUCUCCCAAUGAAGCUGCAAGGCAGAGCAUACAUCUGUGGGUUUUUUCCUUCCAAACAUGGCUAUGCUGCAGGGAGAUCCAUCACUGAAAACUAUGGGGUUUGGGGCCUGUUUUUGUGGGAAGAAGGAAGGCAGAAGCUGCUGCUCUGCACAGCGCUGGAAACUGCUCGACUGCACGAGUGUGGGCUGAGUUACCAAAUCUCAGCCAUAGUCUGAGCCAGGCUGGAAGCUGGCAAAGAGCUGCAGAGCUGCAAAGCAGGGUGAAAAGCACUGAAUAAUCACAUUUAAGUGAUAUUAAUGUGCACCCUAUACAUAAUAACAUCCAUAAAUUGCCGCUUCAGAGCUGGGCAGGGGAGAUCUUAGCCCCAUCUGCACCCCAGCUAUUUGGAGACAUGGAGAAAAACCCCUCAGGGUCAGCUGUGCUGCUCUCCUGACUUAAAAACCAGCAAGUAAAGCAAGUCUGCAGAAGUAGUGGUGCUUUCCCUGCUCAUUUUUUAUAAGAUCCAGCUUAGGAUAAUAAAAACUUGGAGAAGGUGGAAUAUUUUGAGAUG